GAUGAAGAACGCAGCAAAAUGCGAUAAGUAAUGUGAAUUGCAGAAUUCAGUGAAUCAUCGAAUCUUUGAACGCACAUUGCGCCCGCCAGUAUUCUGGCGGGCAUGCCUGUUCGAGCGUCAUUUCAACCCUCAAGCACAGCUUGGUGUUGGGACUCGCGUUAAUUCGCGUUCCUCAAAUUGAUUGGCGGUCACGUCGAGCUUCCAUAGCGUAGUAGUAAAACCCUCGUUACUGGUAAUCGUCGCGGCCACGCCGUUAAACCCCAACUUCUGAAUGUUGACCUCGGAUCAGGUAGGACUACCCGCUGAACUUAAGCAUAUCAAUAAGCGGAGGA
RNAcentral lists this unclassified non-coding RNA (332 nucleotides) under soil metagenome. Its description in RNAcentral is "partial contains 5.8S ribosomal RNA, internal transcribed spacer 2, and large subunit ribosomal RNA". The stretch from base 1 to 120 matches the Rfam family "5.8S ribosomal RNA", at positions 35 to 154 of the family's 154-position model. The record is from RNAcentral.